AAUCAAAUAGAUAUCCUGACAGAAAAAAAUGCAUAAUGGGUUGUAAGGGUCUUAUAGACGAAUGCAGAAUUGGUUGUGAAGAGGCAUGUGACAAAAUGUUUAGACAUAAAAAACCCAAUACAGGGAAACCACACGCA
Long non-coding RNA from Ceratosolen solmsi marchali, 137 nucleotides. RefSeq lists it as uncharacterized. The transcript is spliced from 3 exons. The record is from RefSeq and is a predicted model, not a curated record. NCBI's taxonomy places the organism in Eukaryota, Metazoa, Arthropoda, Insecta, Hymenoptera, Agaonidae.